Molecule: ribosomal RNA, 489 nt
Filed under: uncultured bacterium
Lineage: Bacteria
Description: bacterial SSU rRNA
Rfam family: Bacterial small subunit ribosomal RNA
Source: RNAcentral
GGCUACAGGACGAACGCUGGCGGCGUGCUUAACACAUGCAAGUCGAACGAGACGAUUGAAAGCUUGCUUUUGAAAGUCGAGUGGCAAACGGGUGAGUAACGCGUAGACAACCUGCCUUGAGAUGGGGACAACAGUCCGAAAGGACUGCUAAUACCGAAUGUUGUGGAACUUCCGCAUGGGAGCUCCACCAAAGAUGACCUCUUCCUGAAAGUUAUCGCUCAAAGAUGGGUCUGCGUCUGAUUAGCUAGUUGGUGGGGCAACGGCCUACCAAGGCGACGAUCAGUAGCCGACCUGAGAGGGUGAUCGGCCACAUUGGAACUGAGACACGGUCCAAACUCCUACGGGAGGCAGCAGUGGGGAAUAUUGCACAAUGGGCGAAAGCCUGAUGCAGCAACGCCGCGUGAGCGAAGAAGGUCUUCGGAUUGUAAAGCUCUGUCCCUGGGGAAGAUAAUGACGGUACCCAAGGAGGAAGCCCCGGCUAACUACGUG